CUGACUGACCGAUAGUGAACCAGUACCGUGAGGGAAAGGCGAAAAGAACCCCGGCGAGGGGAGUGAAAAAGAACCUGAAACCGUGUACGUACAAGCAGUGGGAGCCCCACCACUAAGCCAGUGGUGAACUCCACAUCCGCAUCCUUUGCUGAGGAUACGGUUAACGGAGCGAAAGCGACGUUCAACCGCAAAACAAGCAGAGGGGGCUUAGUGGUGGGGUGACUGCGUACCUUUUGUAUAAUGGGUCAGCGACUUAUAUUCUGUAGCAAGGUUAACCGAAUAGGGGAGCCGGAGGGAAACCGAGUCUUAAUUGGGCGUUAAGUUGCAGGGUAUAGACCCGAAACCCGGUGAUCUAGCCAUGGGCAGGUUGAAGGUUGGGUAACACUAACUGGAGGACCGAACCGACUAAUGUUGAAAAAUUAGCGGAUGACCUGUGGCUGGGGGUGAAAGGCCAAUCAAACCGGGAGAUAGCUGGUUCUCCCCGAAAGCUAUUUAGGUAGCGCCUCGUGAAUUCAUCUCCGGGGGUAGAGCACUGUUUCGGCUAGGGGGCCAUCCCGGCUUACCAACCCGAUGCAAACUGCGAAUACCGGAGAAUGUUAUCACGGGAGACACACGGCGGGUGCUAACGUCCGUCGUGAAGAGGGAAACAACCCAGACCGCCAGCUAAGGUCCCAAAGUCAUGGUUAAGUGGGAAACGAUGUGGGAAGGCCCAGACAGCCAGGAUGUUGGCUUAGAAGCAGCCAUCAUUUAAAGAAAGCGUAAUAGCUCACUGGUCGAGUCGGCCUGCGCGGAAGAUGUAACGGGGCUAAACCAUGCACCGAAGCUGCGGCAGCGAACGUAUCACCCAAGACAACUUUACGGAGUUGACGAUUGACGGAGCGAAGCGACGUCAAAGCGUUCAUUAAAGUCGAGUUGGCUUAGGGAUACGUUCGUUGGGUAGGGGAGCGUUCUGUAAGCCUGUGAAGGUGUGUCGUGAGGCAUGCUGGAGGUAUCAGAAGUGCGAAUGCUGACAUAAGUAACGAUAAAGCGGGUGAAAAGCCCGCUCGCCGGAAGACCAAGGGUUCCUGUCCAACGUUAAUCGGGGCAGGGUGAGUCGACCCCUAAGGCGAGGCCGAAAGGCGUAGUCGAUGGGAAACGGGUUAAUAUUCCCGUACUUGGUGUUACUGCGAAGGGGGGACGGAGAAGGCUAUGUUGGCCGGGCGACGGUUGUCCCGGUUUAAGCGUGUAGGUGUGUGUUCCAGGUAAAUCCGGUUCACUUUAACAC
This 1264-nucleotide ribosomal RNA is filed under the name Salmonella enterica subsp. enterica serovar Typhimurium. RNAcentral's name for it is "partial 23S ribosomal RNA". It matches the Rfam family "Bacterial large subunit ribosomal RNA", at positions 476 to 1556 of the family's 2925-position model. The record is from RNAcentral. Lineage: Bacteria; Pseudomonadati; Pseudomonadota; Gammaproteobacteria; Enterobacterales; Enterobacteriaceae.